AGCAUCCGUAGCCGGUUGCAUAAGUUUUCGGUUAAAUCUAUGCGCUCAACGUAUAGGCCGCCGAAAAUACUGUGCAGCUAGGGAGUGGGAGAGGUACACGGUACUCGGUAGGAAGGGGUAAAAUCCUUUGAUCUAUUGAUGACCACCUGUGGCGAAGGCGGUGUACCAGAACACGUUCGACGGUGAGGGAUGAAAGCUGGGGGAGCAAACCGGAUUAGAUACCCGGGUAGUCCCAGCUGUAAACGAUGCAGACUCGGUGAUGCAUUGGCUUGUGGCCAAUGCAGUGCCGCAGGGAAGCCGUUAAGUCUGCCGCCUGGGAAGUACGUACGCAAGUAUGAAACUUAAAGGAAUUGGCGGGGGAGCA
This 364-nucleotide ribosomal RNA is filed under the name uncultured Nitrososphaerota archaeon. RNAcentral describes it as "bacterial SSU rRNA". It matches the Rfam family "Archaeal small subunit ribosomal RNA", at positions 514 to 878 of the family's 1478-position model. Lineage: Archaea; Thermoproteati; Nitrososphaerota. The record is from RNAcentral.